RNAcentral lists this unclassified non-coding RNA (90 nucleotides) under Pseudomonas thivervalensis. Lineage: Bacteria; Pseudomonadati; Pseudomonadota; Gammaproteobacteria; Pseudomonadales; Pseudomonadaceae. The record is from RNAcentral.
UGUGGGAGCGAGCUUGCUCGCGAUGGGGCCCUGUCAGUCGGCAUUGAUAUUGACUGAUAUACCGCUAUCGCGAGCAAGCUCGCUCCCACA